GAUGAAGAACGCAGCGAAAUGCGAUACGUAAUGUGAAUUGCAAAUUCAGUGAAUCAUCGAGUCUUUGAACGCACAUUGCGCCCCCUGGUAUUCCGGGGGGCAUGCCUGUCCGAGCGUCAUUGCUGCCCUCAAGCACGGCUUGUGUGUUGGGCCCCGUCCUCCGAUCCCGGGGGACGGGCCCGAAAGGCAGCGGCGGCACCGCGUCCGGUCCUCGAGCGUAUGGGGCUUUGUCACCCGCUCUGUAGGCCCGGCCGGCGCUUGCCGAUCAACCCAAAUUUUUAUCCAGGUUGACCUCGGAUCAGGUAGGGAUACCCGCUGAACUUAAGCAUAUCAAUCAGCGGAGGA
RNAcentral lists this unclassified non-coding RNA (345 nucleotides) under soil metagenome. RNAcentral's name for it is "partial contains 5.8S ribosomal RNA, internal transcribed spacer 2, and large subunit ribosomal RNA". The stretch from base 1 to 119 matches the Rfam family "5.8S ribosomal RNA", at positions 35 to 154 of the family's 154-position model. The record is from RNAcentral.